Molecule: ribosomal RNA, 459 nt
Filed under: uncultured bacterium
Lineage: Bacteria
Description: partial 16S ribosomal RNA
Rfam family: Bacterial small subunit ribosomal RNA
Source: RNAcentral
CCUACGGGGUGCUGCAGUGAGGAAUAUUGGUCAAUGGGCGGAAGCCUGAACCAGCCAAGUAGCGUGCGGGAUGAAGGCCCUACGGGUCGUAAACCGCUUUUGCCCGGGGAUAACACCAUCCACUUGUGGAGGUCUGCAGGUACCGUGCGAAUAAGGGCCGGCUAAUUCCGUGCCAGCAGCCGCGGUAAUACGGAGGGCUCGAGCGUUAUCCGGAUUUAUUGGGUUUAAAGGGUGCGCAGGCGGGCUGUUAAGCCGGCGGUAAAAAUUCGGGGCUCAAACCUGUCGCGCCGUUGGAACUGGCAGUCUUGAGUGGGCGAGAAGUAUGCGGAAGGCGUGGUGUAGCGGUGAAAUGCAUAGAUAUCACGCAGAACGCCGAUUGCGAAGGCAGCAUACCGGCGCCAAACUGACGCUGAGGCACGAAAGCGUGGGGAUCGAACAGGAUUAGAUACCCGAGUAGUC